AUUAGAUGGUGCCCACCCAGAUUAAGGGUGGGCCUGCCUUUUUCAACCCACUGACUCAAAUGGUAAUCUCUUUUGGCAAUACGUUCACAGACGCCCGGGAUCAAUACUUUGCAUCCUUCAAUCCAAUCAAGUUGACACUCAGCAUUAAUCAUCACACAAGCUAUGGGCAGAAUUGAGUAGUUUUGACGGAGACUGUAAGACCUGCAAAGUAUAAAGUAUUUACUAUUUGAACCUUCACAGAAAAAGUUUGCUGACCCCUGAUUUAGGUAGAUGUAUUCUAGCCGGGGCCUUUUCUGGCUGGCCCAAUACUCAUCAAGCAGGCUCCACAUCAGGAUUUGGAGUGAACCUUGGCAGAGAUUCAACUUGUUUCUGAGUUAAAGGAAUUGAAAGAAGCUGUGGGAAAGGUAUGAGAGACUCUGGA
This is a long non-coding RNA of Cebus imitator (Panamanian white-faced capuchin), 421 nucleotides long. RefSeq lists it as uncharacterized. NCBI's taxonomy places the organism in Eukaryota, Metazoa, Chordata, Mammalia, Primates, Cebidae. The transcript is spliced from 3 exons. The record is from RefSeq and is a predicted model, not a curated record.